Molecule: long non-coding RNA, 405 nt
Filed under: Rattus norvegicus (Norway rat)
Lineage: Eukaryota; Metazoa; Chordata; Mammalia; Rodentia; Muridae
Description: long non-coding RNA NONRATT027673
Source: RNAcentral
AGUGACAGUCCCUGUGAACGAUUCAGUCAGUGCUGUGAUCCUGAAAGCUGAAAAAGACAACAAACCAGUGGGCACCUGGAGCGGAGCAUACGAGAAGUGCAACAACAGCGUUGUCUACAACUUGACAUCUCUAAACAACUCAGCCUUCCAGACAAACUGGACCGUUCCUAGUUCUGAGGACGUGACUAAAGUCAACCUGACGAUCUUCAUUGUCAUCAACCGCACAGCUACAGUGUCAUCUGUGAAACUGGAGCCAAGUGAGUUCUAUUGCAAAUCUCUGUAGAUUUGGCGUCAGACUCAAGCAGUCUGGAAAGUUAUUUUACUCACAUAUCAGUUGAGUUUCCCACCGUCCUGGAACCUAUCUGAGAUUUGUUUCAUGUUGUGCGGAAAACAAAAACGCUGUCU